GGAAUUUUCCGCAAUGGGCGAAAGCCUGACGGAGCAACGCCGCGUGAGGGAUGAAGGCCUCUGGGCUGUAAACCUCUUUUAUCAAGGAAGAAGAUCUGACGGUACUUGAUGAAUAAGCCACGGCUAAUUCCGUGCCAGCAGCCGCGGUAAUACGGGAGUGGCAAGCGUUAUCCGGAAUUAUUGGGCGUAAAGCGUCCGCAGGCGAUCUGUCAAGUCUGCUGUUAAAGCGUGGAGCUUAACUCCAUUUCGGCAGUGGAAACUGACAGACUAGAGUGUGGUAGGGGCAGAGGGAAUUCCCGGUGUAGCGGUGAAAUGCGUAGAUAUCGGGAAGAACACCAGUGGCGAAGGCGCUCUGCUGGGCCAUAACUGACGCUCAUGGACGAAAGCCAGGGGAGCGAAAGGGAUUAGAUACCCCAGUAGUC
Molecule: ribosomal RNA, 422 nt
Filed under: uncultured cyanobacterium
Lineage: Bacteria; Bacillati; Cyanobacteriota
Description: bacterial SSU rRNA
Rfam family: Bacterial small subunit ribosomal RNA
Source: RNAcentral